Molecule: ribosomal RNA, 372 nt
Filed under: uncultured organism
Description: partial 16S ribosomal RNA
Rfam family: Bacterial small subunit ribosomal RNA
Source: RNAcentral
GUAGGUGGCAAGCGUUGUCCGGAAUUAUUGGGCGUAAAGCGCGCGCAGGCGGUUCUUUAAGUCUCAUGUGAAAGCCCACGGCUCAACCGUGGAGGGUCAUUGGAAACUGGAGAACUUGAGUACAGAAGAGGAAAGCGGAAUUCCACGUGUAGCGGUGAAAUGCGUAGAGAUGUGGAGGAACACCAGUGGCGAAGGCGGCUUUCUGGUCUGUAACUGACGCUGAGGCGCGAAAGCGUGGGGAGCAAACAGGAUUAGAUACCCUGGUAGUCCACGCCGUAAACGAUGAGUGCUAAGUGUUAGGGGGUUUCCGCCCCCCUUAGUGCUGCAGCUAACGCAUUAAGCACUCCGCCUGGGAGUACGGCCGCAAGGCCG